CUAACACAUGCAAGUCGAACGAGAAAGUGGAGCAAUCCAUGAGUACAGUGGCGUACGGGUGAGUAACACGUGACUAACCUACCCUCGAGUGGGGAAUAACUUCGGGAAACCGAGGCUAACACCGCAUAAUGUCUACGGACCAAAUGCGUAAGCAGCUUGAGGAGGGGGUCGCGGCUGAUUAGCUUGUUGGCGGGGUAACGGCCCACCAAGGCAAUGAUCAGUAGCCGGCCUGAGAGGGCGCACGGCCACACUGGAACUGAAACACGGUCCAGACUCCUACGGGAGGCAGCAGUGGGGAAUUUUGCGCAAUGGGGGAAACCCUGACGCAGCAACGCCGCGUGGAGGAUGAAGCCCCUUGGGGUGUAAACUCCUUUCGAUCGGGACGAUUAUGACGGUACCGGAUGAAGAAGCACCGGCUAACUCUGUGCCAGCAGCCGCGGUAAUACAGAGGGUGCAAGCGUUGUUCGGAAUUAUUGGGCGUAAAGGGUGCGUAUGCGGUGCGGUAAGUCUUCUGUGAAACCUCCGGGCUUA
This 531-nucleotide ribosomal RNA is filed under the name uncultured bacterium. RNAcentral describes it as "bacterial SSU rRNA". It matches the Rfam family "Bacterial small subunit ribosomal RNA", at positions 48 to 611 of the family's 1533-position model. The record is from RNAcentral.